GUGAUUGUGUGUCGUGUGCAAAAGUGAGUUGUUGAUAUCUGUAAAAAUGAGUGUAUUUGUUUAAAUUAUUUAUAUUAUUAAUUAUGUUGAACAAUGAAUUAUAUAACAAUCGAUUCAUAAAAUCUUCCUCUUCAAAUUGAUAUACACCAUGUUGGGUUUUUUUUUCGAAUUGAAUUGAGCCAUUCGAUGGGUACGGAAGGUCAUUCAAGUGACUUUCCGGAGGCAAAGCCGGAUAUUUAACCAAAUCGAAUACCUGACAUAUCGUUCCAACAUAUUGACAGGUGGAUAAAGCUGGUGAAUUCAAAACUGAUGAUAGUUCUGUACAACAAAAGAUCCAUAAUUAAAGAUAAUACUACAAGUUUCGAAGAAGCAACACAUCAUGAAGCCGUACAACUAUUUAAAGCGAAUACAAAAAUCAGUUUGGUAAGAGAUAUUGUCGAAUUACCACAUUCAUGCACAACAAGUCAUCCAGUUAUUAUAUUAAUUAGUUAUUGUAUUAAGCUCAAGAUAUUAAUAAUUCAUAAAUCUAGCAGGCUAAUCAACUAAUACUAAUGAUUGAAAAAAAAGCUCGUAAUUCAAAACAAAAUAUUAGUCUCAAACACUGUCUACUUAAAUAUUAUUAUUGUUAUAAUCAAGAUGCUAAUUAAUAUUUAUUUAAAACUAAUUUUUGAAUUACGAUAACUUGUACAUUUAUAUACGUUUGUAAAUUUAGUUAGUCUAACAUUUUCUCACAUACUACACUCAUACGUUUUUUUACAAUUUAAACCCUCACUUUAAAACUAUCUUUUUUUAAUAUUAUCAUUAUUACUAUUAUUAUUAAAAAAAAAGAAAAUGAUAAUAGAACAUAAAAGUUAUUUUAGCAUCAUUACAAAAGAAAAUUCUACCUCAAAGUAGGACAUUAUUCAGGACAAUUUGUGACGUUCAACAUAAUACUAAAGAACAGAUAUAAAAAUUGGCUAUAAAGUAGACGUAGAAAAGACGUAUAUAAAAAGCAAAAGCUAAUUCUAAAUGAAAAGCUAAUUUACAUGAAAAGUGUCUAAAUUAUAAUUUUCAUGUUUACAUUAUUAUAAUAUAUUAAUCCUAUUUAUAAUCAUUAAAUAAAUUGUUAUAUACUAUAAUUUUUUUUUCCAAGCUAAAACUAUUUUGUAAUAUUAUGUAUACUAUCUCAAUUAAAUGCCUAAUUUGUUGAUCAAUCAUUACACGCCAAGUGUUGUACAAUAUUAAUCUAAUACAUGAGAAAAAAAAAAAAAAAAUUGUUUGCCAAAUGUAAUGCGAAUUACAAAAUUUAUCAAAUAUAAAUAGAAAAUAUUUUUUGAAUUAUUAAAUUUAUCAUACAAAAUAUGAAAGAGAACAUUUAAUUUUUUUUUUCAUAUUUAAUGGUCAAGGUAGUAUAGCAUUUGAAGGUCAUCAUGGUAAUAAUUAUAUCUGACAGUGGUCCGCUUGUUUUUGGCACGUUAUAAUUUAUGUUCAACUGCGUGAUUUGAAAUCAUCGUACAAUGCUCAUUACAUCGUACCAGGGUUUGGCUGAAUGCCCGCUAUAAUAAAAAAAAAAAAAACAAAAAAUUAUAAAAAAA
This is a long non-coding RNA of Aphidius gifuensis, 1574 nucleotides long. RefSeq lists it as uncharacterized. The record is from RefSeq and is a predicted model, not a curated record. NCBI's taxonomy places the organism in Eukaryota, Metazoa, Arthropoda, Insecta, Hymenoptera, Braconidae. The transcript has 3 exons.